AAAAAGGUGGUAGAAGAGAAGGUGGAGCACGGGGGAUCAUCAUCUAACAUCAUCUAGCAUCAUCACCAACUUCUCUUCAUCCCGCAUUCGUCCCCUUCCCCUUCUUUUUCUUCUUCCUGCUCCUACUCCUGCUCUUCCGUCCCGCAUCGCCGCACCCCCGCAUCCUCGCAUCCCUGCACACCGCUCAUUCGGCUUCGUUGCUUCUCCACUUUCGGGCCUCCUCCUGUGCAUCAGUCUUUCCUCUGUUUGUCUGUGUGUCAGUGUGUGUGUG
Molecule: long non-coding RNA, 271 nt
Filed under: Physcomitrium patens
Lineage: Eukaryota; Viridiplantae; Streptophyta; Bryopsida; Funariales; Funariaceae
Description: long non-coding RNA (PPAT_LNC003818)
Source: RNAcentral